RNAcentral lists this ribosomal RNA (484 nucleotides) under uncultured bacterium. RNAcentral's name for it is "partial 16S ribosomal RNA". It matches the Rfam family "Bacterial small subunit ribosomal RNA", at positions 30 to 507 of the family's 1533-position model. The record is from RNAcentral.
AUUGAACGCUGGCGGCAGGCCUAACACAUGCAAGUCGAGCGGAUGAAGGGAGCUUGCUCCUGGAUUCAGCGGCGGACGGGUGAGUAAUGCCUAGGAAUCUGCCUGGUAGUGGGGGAUAACGUCCGGAAACGGGCGCUAAUACCGCAUACGUCCUGAGGGAGAAAGUGGGGGAUCUUCGGACCUCACGCUAUCAGAUGAGCCUAGGUCGGAUUAGCUAGUUGGUGGGGUAAAGGCCUACCAAGGCGACGAUCCGUAACUGGUCUGAGAGGAUGAUCAGUCACACUGGAACUGAGACACGGUCCAGACUCCUACGGGAGGCAGCAGUGGGGAAUAUUGGACAAUGGGCGAAAGCCUGAUCCAGCCAUGCCGCGUGUGUGACGAAGGUCUUCGGAUUGUAAAGCACUUUAAGUUGGGAGGAAGGGCAGUAAGUUAAUACCUUGCUGUUUUGACGUUACCAACAGAAUAAGCACCGGCUAACUUCGUG